GGAGUCGGCCAGACAGUCGCGUCAUCGCAGCGGGUUCGCCCGCGACGGUGCCGAGGAAAGUCCGGGCUCCACAGGGCACGGUGCCAGGUAACGCCUGGGCGGCGCGAGCCGACGGAAAGUGCAACAGAGAGUAGACCGCCGAACGGUCCGGUGUUCGAAAGAAUGCCGGGCGCGUGGCAAGGGUGAAACGGUGCGGUAAGAGCGCACCGCGAGUCUGGCAACAGACCGGCACGGCAAACCCCACCGGGAGCAAGACCAAAUAGGGACCUCAUGGCGCUGCCCGCGUCGGGUCCGGGUAGGUUGCUUGAGCGUAUCGGUGACGAUGCGCCUAGAGGAAUGACUGUCCACGACAGAACCCGGCUUAUCGGCCGGCUCCGCCA
This 380-nucleotide RNase P RNA is filed under the name Lysobacter concretionis Ko07 = DSM 16239. Its description in RNAcentral is "Bacterial RNase P class A". It matches the Rfam family "Bacterial RNase P class A". From Rfam's summary of the family: Ribonuclease P (RNase P) is a ubiquitous endoribonuclease, found in archaea, bacteria and eukarya as well as chloroplasts and mitochondria. The record is from Rfam by way of RNAcentral. Lineage: Bacteria; Pseudomonadati; Pseudomonadota; Gammaproteobacteria; Lysobacterales; Lysobacteraceae. RNAcentral also lists the same sequence under 1 other name.